CACGCCGUAAACGGUGGGCGCUAGGUGUGGGCCUCAUUCCACGAGGUCUGUGCCGCAGCUAACGCAUUAAGCGCCCCGCCUGGGGAGUACGGCCGCAAGGCUAAAACUCAAAGGAAUUGACGGGGGCCCGCACAAGCGGCGGAGCAUGUGGCUUAAUUCGAUGCAACGCGAAGAACCUUACCUAGGCUUGACAUGCAAGGAAAUCUCCCAGAGAUGGGAGGUCCGCAAGGGCUUUGCACAGGUGG
Molecule: ribosomal RNA, 245 nt
Filed under: uncultured Actinomycetales bacterium
Lineage: Bacteria; Bacillati; Actinomycetota; Actinomycetes; Actinomycetales
Description: partial 16S ribosomal RNA
Rfam family: Bacterial small subunit ribosomal RNA
Source: RNAcentral